Molecule: ribosomal RNA, 465 nt
Filed under: uncultured bacterium
Lineage: Bacteria
Description: partial 16S ribosomal RNA
Rfam family: Bacterial small subunit ribosomal RNA
Source: RNAcentral
GACGAACGCUGGCGGCGUGCUUAACACAUGCAAGUCGAACGGAAAGGCCCCUUUGGGGGUACUCGAGUGGCGAACGGGUGAGUAACACGUGAGUAACCUGCCCUUGACUUCGGGAUAACUUCAGGAAACUGGGGCUAAUACCGGAUAGGAAUCCUUGCUGCAUGGUGGGGGUUGGAAAGCUUCGGCGGUUUUGGAUGGACUCGCGGCUUAUCAGCUUGUUGGUGGGGUAGUGGCUUACCAAGGCUUUGACGGGUAGCCGGCCUGAGAGGGCGACCGGCCACAUUGGGACUGAGAUACGGCCCAGACUCCUACGGGAGGCAGCAGUGGGGAAUAUUGCACAAUGGGCGGAAGCCUGAUGCAGCAACGCCGCGGGCGGAAUGACGGCCUUCGGGUUGUAAACCGCUUUCAGCAGGGGCGAAGCUUGUGGUGACGGUACCUGCAGAAGAAGCACCGGCUAACUACGUG